Molecule: ribosomal RNA, 558 nt
Filed under: Triticum aestivum (bread wheat)
Lineage: Eukaryota; Viridiplantae; Streptophyta; Magnoliopsida; Poales; Poaceae
Description: partial small subunit ribosomal RNA
Source: RNAcentral
AUGAGAGAAUGGAGGGAGGUUCACGAGAAGCCGGGUCCGGAGCCCAAAGUUGCGGUUCUGCAAAGAUGGACAGCGCCAGAGGAGGGGUGGAUCAAGGCCAAUACCGACGGUGCCGUAUCCAAGGAUGGAGGCAAGGGCGGAGGGGGCGUGGUGUUGCGGGAUCAUAAUGGAGCUAAUAUUGCAGGGGCUUGCCACUUCUUCCCUCAUGUGAUGGAGGCAGAGGCUGCGGAGAUCAAGGCGUGCAAGAGAGCCAUUUUGGUUGCUGCGGAGGUCAAUGUGCAGAGAAUUCAUUUGGAGCUGGACAGCCAGGCCCUAGUGCAGAUGAUAAACACUCCGGAAAGGAUCUUGGCAGCGACAGGCCCUUGGGUGGAGGAGAUCAAGACUAUGCUUCGGUCUUUUGAUGCUUUUAGAGUUUCGUGGGUGAGGCGUUCUGCAAAUGUUGCCGCGCAUAAAUUAGCAAAAAUAUGUGUAGGUGAAGAACUAUGUAAGGUUUGGCUUGGAUCACCACCAGAUUGCAUUCUGGAAGUGAUCGCAGGCAAGAUUCCAGACGUGUUUUAA